Molecule: ribosomal RNA, 344 nt
Filed under: uncultured eukaryote
Lineage: Eukaryota
Description: SSU rRNA
Rfam family: Eukaryotic small subunit ribosomal RNA
Source: RNAcentral
CCAGCAGCCGCGGUAAUUCCAGCUCCAAUAGUGUAUCUUAACGUUGUUGCAGUUAAAAAGCUCGUAGUUGAAUUUCUGGGGGGGUGUUUCAAGGUACGUCCUGUUACUGCCCUCUCAUCCGCUUUGGAACCAGGAGGGGUAUUUAGUUAUCGGCCUGGGGAAGGGGCAUUUUACUUUGAAGAAAUUAGAGUGUUCCAGGCAGGCUUUUGCUUGAAUACAUCAGCAUGGAAUAAUGGAAUAGGACAAUGUUCAUUUUAUUGGCUAUUGAACUUGUAAUGAUUAACAGGGACAGUUGGGGGCAUUCGUAUUCAUUUGUCAGAGGUGGAAUUCUUGGAUUAACUGAA